CCUACGGGGGGCUGCAGUGGGGAAUAUUGGACAAUGGGCGAAAGCCUGAUCCAGCCAUGCCGCGUGUGUGAAGAAGGCCUUCGGGUUGUAAAGCACUUUCAGUGGGGAAGAAAGCCUUGGGGCUAAUACCCUCGAGGAAGGACAUCACCCACAGAAGAAGCACCGGCUAACUCCGUGCCAGCAGCCGCGGUAAUACGGAGGGUGCGAGCGUUAAUCGGAAUUACUGGGCGUAAAGCGCGCGUAGGCGGUCUGAUAAGCCGGUUGUGAAAGCCCCGGGCUCAACCUGGGAACGGCAUCCGGAACUGUCAGGCUAGAGUGCAGGAGAGGAAGGUAGAAUUCCCGGUGUAGCGGUGAAAUGCGUAGAGAUCGGGAGGAAUACCAGUGGCGAAGGCGGCCUUCUGGACUGACACUGACGCUGAGGUGCGAAAGCGUGGGUAGCAAACAGGAUUAAUACCCCAGUAGUC
This 464-nucleotide ribosomal RNA is filed under the name Vreelandella stevensii. RNAcentral describes it as "partial 16S ribosomal RNA". It matches the Rfam family "Bacterial small subunit ribosomal RNA", at positions 338 to 795 of the family's 1533-position model. The record is from RNAcentral. Lineage: Bacteria; Pseudomonadati; Pseudomonadota; Gammaproteobacteria; Oceanospirillales; Halomonadaceae.